Non-coding RNA from Ogataea philodendri, 75 nucleotides. The record is from the annotation of a RefSeq genome assembly. Lineage: Eukaryota; Fungi; Ascomycota; Pichiomycetes; Pichiales; Pichiaceae.
GGUUCUGUAGCUUAAUUUGGUUAAAGUCUUAUCUUGUCACGAUAAUGGAUAUCCGUUCGAAUCGGAUUAGAAUCG